Molecule: ribosomal RNA, 639 nt
Filed under: uncultured bacterium
Lineage: Bacteria
Description: bacterial SSU rRNA
Rfam family: Bacterial small subunit ribosomal RNA
Source: RNAcentral
CGCGGCCUAKCAGCUUGUUGGNAGGGUGAUGGCCCACCAAGGCUUCGACGGGUAGCUGGUCUGAGAGGACGAUCAGCCACACUGGGACUGAGACACGGCCCAGACUCCUACGGGAGGCAGCAGUGGGGAAUCUUGCGCAAUGGGCGAAAGCCUGACGCAGCAACGCCGCGUGGGGGAUGAAGGCUCUCGGGUCGUAAACCCCUUUCAGCAGGGACGAAACUGACGGUACCUGCAGAAGAAGCCCCGGCCAACUACGUGCCAGCAGCCGCGGUAACACGUAGGGGGCAAGCGUUGUCCGGAUUUAUUGGGCGUAAAGAGCUCGUAGGUGGUUCGGUAAGUCAGGUGUGAAACCUCCAGGCUCAACCUGGAGACGCCACUUGAUACUGCUGUGACUGGAGUCCGGUAGGGGAGCGUGGAAUUCCUGGUGUAGCGGUGAAAUGCGCAGAUAUCAGGAGGAACACCAGCGGCGAAGGCGGCGCUCUGGGCCGGUACUGACACUGAGGAGCGAAAGCGUGGGUAGCAAACAGGAUUAGAUACCCUGGUAGUCCACGCCGUAAACGUUGGGCACUAGGUGUGGGUCUCAACCAACGGGAUCUGCGCCGUAGCUAACGCAUUAAGUGCCCCGCCUGGGGAGUACGG